This 185-nucleotide non-coding RNA is filed under the name Alcaligenaceae bacterium. RNAcentral describes it as "6S RNA". It matches the Rfam family "6S / SsrS RNA". From Rfam's summary of the family: E. coli 6S RNA was the first non coding RNA to be sequenced, but its function was unknown until recently. It consists of 184 nucleotides that fold into an extended hairpin structure with a large single-stranded internal bulge. Lineage: Bacteria; Pseudomonadati; Pseudomonadota; Betaproteobacteria; Burkholderiales; Alcaligenaceae. The record is from RNAcentral.
GAUUUCCUGCGGUAUUCGUGACCGUGGUCAUUACAUCUCUUACCGAUGCUUAUGGCUAUGGUAGUUAGCUUAAGCGCAGGCGUGAACCUCUCUCGUCAGAGGAUCCCAAUGCGCUAUACGAGCCGACCACCAACUUGAACUUUUGGGGUUCGAGAUGCCGACCUUGACGGUACCGCGGGUAUUUA